Molecule: ribosomal RNA, 496 nt
Filed under: uncultured bacterium
Lineage: Bacteria
Description: partial 16S ribosomal RNA
Rfam family: Bacterial small subunit ribosomal RNA
Source: RNAcentral
GAUGAACGCUGGCGGCGUGCCUAAUACAUGCAAGUCGAGCGAACAGACGAGGAGCUUGCUCCUCUGACGUUAGCGGCGGACGGGUGAGUAACACGUGGAUAACCUACCUAUAAGACUGGGAUAACUUCGGGAAACCGGAGCUAAUACCGGAUAAUAUAUUGAACCGCAUGGUUCAAUAGUGAAAGACGGUUUUGCUGUCACUUAUAGAUGGAUCCGCGCCGCAUUAGCUAGUUGGUAAGGUAACGGCUUACCUAGGCGACGAUGCGUAGCCGACCUGAGAGGGUGAUCGGCCACACUGGAACUGAGACACGGUCCAGACUCCUACGGGAGGCAGCAGUAGGGAAUCUUCCGCAAUGGGCGAAAGCCUGACGGAGCAACGCCGCGUGAGUGAUGAAGGUCUUCGGAUCGUAAAACUCUGUUAUUAGGGAAGAACAAAUGUGUAAGUAACUAUGCACGUCUUGACGGUACCUAAUCAGAAAGCCACGGCUAACUACGU